This is a non-coding RNA of Salmo salar (Atlantic salmon), 70 nucleotides long. The record is from Rfam. Lineage: Eukaryota; Metazoa; Chordata; Actinopteri; Salmoniformes; Salmonidae.
UCCUGUGUGGCUCAGUUGGUAGAGCAUGGUGUUUGCAACGCCAGGAUUGUGGAUUCGAUUCUCACGGGGG